GAUGAACGCUGGCUACAGGCUUAACACAUGCAAGUCGUGGGGAAACGGCAUUAUGUGCUUGCACAUUCUGGACGUCGACCGGCGCACGGGUGAGUAUCGCGUGUCCAACCUGCCCCUUACUUGGGGAUACCCCGUUGAAAGACGGCCUAAUACCCGAUGUGUUUCAUUGACGGCAUCCGAUAUGAAACAAAGGUUUUUCCGGUAAGGGAUGGGGAUGCGUCUGAUUAGCUAGUUGGCGGGGCAACGGCCCACCAAGGCGACGAUCAGUAGGGGUUCUGAGAGGAAGGUCCCCCACAUUGGAACUGAGACACGGUCCAAACUCCUACGGGAGGCAGCAGUGAGGAAUAUUGGUCAAUGGACGCAGGUCUGAACCAGCCAAGUAGCGUGCAGGAUGACGGCCCUAUGGGUUGUAAACUGCUUUUAUGUGGGAAUAAAUUGGCGCACGUG
This 447-nucleotide ribosomal RNA is filed under the name Prevotella nigrescens. RNAcentral's name for it is "bacterial SSU rRNA". It matches the Rfam family "Bacterial small subunit ribosomal RNA", at positions 28 to 462 of the family's 1533-position model. The record is from RNAcentral. Lineage: Bacteria; Pseudomonadati; Bacteroidota; Bacteroidia; Bacteroidales; Prevotellaceae.